GGAGUUGUAAAGUAUAAGCCACUUCCCCCACUCUCUUAAUCACAGGAAAAGGGCCAUAGUACUUUGGGGACAACUUCUGGUUGGUAACCUUCUGAAUUGUCAGUUGUCUAUAUGGCUGCAAGCGUAAAUAAACCAUGUCACCCACCUAAAAACUCAUUUCUGAUCGGUACUUAUCCGCCAUAUGCUUCAUGCGAGAUUGAGCCUUCUUGAGACAAAAUUGUAGUAGUUUUCGAGCGGCUUCCCUAACUUGUAAACUACGAUCCACGACAUCCACAAGGGAAGCACCCGC
RNAcentral lists this long non-coding RNA (289 nucleotides) under Gossypium raimondii (Peruvian cotton). Its description in RNAcentral is "long non-coding RNA (GRAI_LNC000987)". The record is from RNAcentral. Lineage: Eukaryota; Viridiplantae; Streptophyta; Magnoliopsida; Malvales; Malvaceae.